RNAcentral lists this ribosomal RNA (1791 nucleotides) under Triticum aestivum (bread wheat). RNAcentral describes it as "partial small subunit ribosomal RNA". Lineage: Eukaryota; Viridiplantae; Streptophyta; Magnoliopsida; Poales; Poaceae. The record is from RNAcentral.
AUGCAGGUAGGGGAUGGAAUCUGGGCUGAACUCAGGGAGAAUGAAGACCAUAUAACACCUUGCCCCAAGGAUACGAAGGAUAGUAGAUCAAUCUGUGUUCGAGACCAGAAGAAGAAUGAUGAUGAAGCAGCUAGUGUUGUGGGCCUUACUGAAUGUACUUCAGGGGGUCAAACUGAACAUCCUGGUUUGGAAAAGCAGGCUGCCACUGAGGCUAGUGGACAUUAUUCAGCUGCACAACAUGACAUAGAAUCCUUGCCUGACCUGCCUCUCCUGAGCACUACAUUUGACAGAAACUACAAUGACGAUAAUAUAGCAUCAACAUAUUUGGAUUUCAAUUCUGCAUCUAGUUUACAAAAAGUUACCAGAAGCGUGUCAGUGCAGCUGGAUGGUGAACCUGAAGUGUUUGGCAACGGGCAUGAAGAAAAGAGCAACAACUUUCUCGACUGUGACUGGGGCAAUAUUGGAGAUUUUGAUGAUUUUGACUACUUGUUUAGCAACACUGAAGCCUUAUUUGGAAAUGAGAUGAUUUUUAAUGGCAGUGAUUUCCUUGUUACGAGUUCAGAUGUGGUUGACGGUACUGUACAAUCAAUCCCCUUUCCGCGUGUACCAUUAAAUAAGCAACCAUCUUCUGAUUGUGGAUCUUCUUCGGUUCUGAUUAAUUGUAUUCCCAGUAAAAUAGCCAAACAAGAAAUCAAGGGAGAUGUAGAGAAGAGACCAAUGAAAUCACAAAGAAAACCAGAUGAAGGAAGCAAAAGUAAAACAUCCAACAAUACAAGUGGUUUCUCCCAGAAGCAAGGACACCAGCAACCAGACAGUUUGCAUUCAUUGUCCGAACCUCCUGUCCAGCAUUUUCAGACUCGUCAAUAUGCACUGCUCCACGAUAGCAAGAAUAUGGAGCUAUUUCAAGAUGCUAUUCAGCUUGUAUUCCCUGGCUAUGGAUAUCCUGCAUAUCCGUGUCCUACCAUUCCGGCGGUGUCAAAUAUUCAGGCUGAAGGCCAUCAGACAAACCCAAAGGCUGCAUGUUACCAAACUUCAGUAGAUCCUCUGAAGCAAUCAAGUUCCACAGAAAAGCCACAAGAUAUGCCAUCAAGGGCACUGAUGAUGACACCCCAGGAAAAGAUUGAAAAGCUUAGGCUCCGGCAACAACAACAUGCCCUGAGAGCUAUUCAACAACAGCAGCAGCAAUUUCGUCAAGAGGGUUCGGGCAGGGACACUUUGGUACCUCGAGCAUACUCCCGAAGGAAGAAGAACUCAGAUUCAUUAGGGAGUUCAGGUAUCAUAGACGAAAAUGCACCAGAGCAGACUUCAGCUUGUCGUAAAGAGAUUCAUAAGAAUUCUGGAAUUCCUGAUGAUCCCUUUAUAGAGGAAAAAAUAUAUUAUGAGCUUAAAGAUGCCCUUGGGAAGCUGGAUGCCAGAACUCGACUCUGCAUUCGAGACAGUCUGCUUCGAUUGGCUCAUAGUUCCUCACAGAGACAAAUUGCUGGUGACAGAACUAGCAGUAACAAGACUAAAAGAGAUGAAGAUGAAGUUUCAGAAAAUGACGCAUCCAACAGGAGAAAAAGAUCUCUGGUGAAGGAAGCAGAAACAGACACCAAUCCAGUUGAUCGAAUUGUAGCCCAUUUGCUGUUUCAUAGACCAUGUUCGACGGUUGCAACACUUGCAAAGGAAGAAAUCGCAUCCUCGACUCUGAUGUCACUUGAAGCUGAUUCCAAGAUGCCUGGGGCCAUGCCUGGGCGACCAUCAGGAGAUCAACAGACUGCGCAGGAAAUGGCAAUUCAGCCUUCAGUGUAA